Non-coding RNA from Pelobates cultripes (western spadefoot toad), 32024 nucleotides. The record is from the annotation of a GenBank genome assembly. NCBI's taxonomy places the organism in Eukaryota, Metazoa, Chordata, Amphibia, Anura, Pelobatidae.
AUUACUGAACUCUGUAAAACAUCCUUCAUCAGACACCAAGGAGAGGCCAACAGAACAGGCUGCCAUGAUCCUGCCAUGGAAUGAAAUGGCUAACUCUGUGUAUUACACUCUGGGUGUUAUUUUUUUUUACAUUUAUUUAUUUUUUCAAUACCUUCUUUUGUUUCAAAUAAGGGAAUGCUUUUAAUUGAAUCCAACACUUGCUAUCAGGACUCCACUGUGUGCAUGUUCUUUAUGUUUGCCAUUUUAAAGGAUUUUUGUUUUCUAUUUGGAAGAAGGAAGAUUAAAACCAUAAAUAUCAUUUACAUGUCUGGAUUUUCUCCCUAAGAUUUGGAAUCCAUCUUUGUUCUAGCUAAGUCAUGGCACACCCAAAGUCUAAAAUAAGUAAAUACAUUUUCUCUCUUUUUUUUUGGAUGGGUGGGAAUCGUGAUUCGCAGUGUAGAACUGCUUCUGGUUUGGUGUUUUAUGAACAAUAAAUGAGAUGAAUUUACCUCUUUUUGCAUAAUUUCUGGUCAUUUGUAAACUCAUGUCCUUUAACUCAAAAAAAAAAAAAAAAAGUGCCAAUUAAAACGUAUUAGUAAUUGUAUUUUAUCAGGGCAUUGCUGCUGAUAAAUGUAAAGCUUUGGGUUGACAUGUUUUAAGGCAUGCCAGAUUGAUAUUUAAUUUGAUUUUCAAAAGAUUACACGAUUUAACAGGAUUUUCUCUUAAACCAGAGUUGUAUUUCCAGAAUCUUCGAUUCACAAGAACCUGCUGAUGUAUGCAAGUGCAUUAUUCAAGCUGUUUUUUUACUCUUUUUGCUUAGAGGAAAGAUAGCAAAACAGGAUUGAUGCAAGAUCACAUUGUUUAUUAAAAGAAAAUAGAUACCAGCUUAAACCCCAGCAAAUCUCCAAGGCUGUGUAUUACGGUAAGUACAUGUGUUUGCCCUUCAGUACAUGGAAAGAAAACAGGGCCUGUUAAAUUAUUGCUUUGAUAAACACCGUCUCCAUAUGAUCUCUGAACAGUUAAGGGAUGAAUGCAUUUCGGACUAUAAGGAUCACCCAUCUUGGAUUUUAUGUCUCAAAACAACAUUUUAUAGGGCAACCUCGUUCACAUUUCUCCUAUUUUAUAUAGAUUGUGAAAGAUCUACAUGUGUACCCCAGAUUAGCCUGCUGCGUAUACAUACAUAUAUAUAUUUGUGAUAGUUUAUCCAUAUACACCCCUACCAACUCAAUAAAAUCUUUUAAUCGUAUGAUGCUUUAAAAGGGGGUCGAAGACAUAACUGACACUUAAGUGAUGGAACCUCUGUUGCUGCUAGAAUUCCAUCUAGGUUUCCGAUCCCUAUGCUAAAAAUAGGUUUUUGUGACCAGUAACCUCACACCCAGAGAUCCUGUGUUGUUGACGUGAAGCUCUGUAAACUUGUAUCCUUUCUGGGCUUCAGAAUAGCAGACCACGUUCUACAUUGUGGAACAAAGGGCCAUCGCUGUUACUGUGUAUACGUGUGCGUUUCUGGUUACAGUUAAACCCUGUCUCUGCAUUCCUUGCUCUGUAGUACAGGCCUGGAAAUCUCACUGCCUUGUGAAUUGCAGCCUGAGAGAUAAUUAUGGAGGGUGAGCCAUAAAACAAGGCCGUGCUUGUCACAGAGUAGAAUGUAAUCAGGCAAAAGGUCGGGCUUGAUGUGUACUUAGCCAUUUGGUAACCUGAAUAUUUAACUCCUUCCAGCCCUUUACUAACCCUUUGAACAGUGUGUUCUAGAUUCGUCAUCCGCUCCAGUUUGUGAAAGUGGUUUAUUUGUUUUCCUGUAUUAAUCUCUUUGACAGGCUAUGUGGACGUUUACUAGGAGACUUGCAUAAUGGGGAAUGCAGAGAACAUUGAUCCUUUUGUAAGACGUGUGAUCCUGUUUAGGAUGUCCACCAUGCACCAUAUUGUGUUAGAGAAAGAAAGUUCAAAUCCUUGCUCCUGAGGCUGUUUUGUGAAGUACAUAUUUGUGAUUACAGCUGGGCUUUAUAUAAAGCUCAUUUAUAUAGCCAUGGUUGUUGAAAAAAAAAUUAAGCAAUUCGUUUGUAAACCAAUGAUCUAUAAAUUCCAGCUUAGGGCUGUAUUUUUUUUUUUUUUCUUCUUUAACUUUUAGUUUUCAGAGUGCUCUUAUAAUCGACUUUUUCGUGUUUGUGGAGGAACUCAGUUGGUAAAUAUGCCAAUUGUAUCAAUCAGUAAAGCAGCCUGUUAUGAUUGUUAGUACACGAUCUUGUCAAGGCAUCCAUGUGAUAGCAAAUUGUACACAGUAAUGGAGCUCCAUGAAAUGAUCUCGUUAAUAAACAUCAAAUCAUGAGUAUUUGGUAACCAAAUUUACCUUAAAAUAGCUAAGGCAGAAAACAAAUAAUCAAACUGCUAAUAUUGAUGCUUUGUUGUCAUUCUUGAUGUUAUUUCCUAGACAUAGUUGGUUGCAUUCUGACCAGAACUCACUGUGACUAGUCCCCUGUAAGAUUGUUAUAUGUAGUCAGUACUUUUAAAGUGAUUAUUGUGUAAUAUUUGUAGUCAUAUGCAAUGAUGAUUCAAACUAAUAUAUAAUAAAAGGUUAGGAUUGACAUACUGUUAUUGAACCCAAUAGUCACCAGUUAAAGUGUUGUGUGUUUGAAAGGAAAAAAAACAUGCCAUGCAGUCUUUAUCUAAGUUCAUACAAGGUUAUUUACUUAAGUGAGAAGUGAGUUUCAAAUUUAAGUCCAAAGUAGCUGAACUGAAAAAUUCUCUAAAUCUGCUAUGCUUCCAGUUCAACUACUUUCCCUUUUAAUUUGGAAUUCACUUUUAAUUCCUGAUAAUUCUCAAUUUAGUGAAUAACAUUGAGGGUCUUCAGUCGUGGUAUAUUGGAAAUUCUCUAGAUAGUCCACUUCUCCAUUGCAUCACUAAGUAAAAUGGUUGCAAGCUGCUAAACUGUUCGUGUUUCACUUUAAAAGAAAACUAAAAAACAAACAUUGAAUUAUUCAGGUAUAAAUAAGGUGCUACCAGUCAACAGUGUUCUAGGGUGAUCUUUUGGUGUUUUGCAAUGCGUUCUUGAGGCCUUAAUACACAUAGGGUUAAUGGAGAAAUAAUGUAAACAUACUGGUUCUACCGGUUUAGGGCUUGUCCUUAUUUUGUCUAAAUGAGCCUUAUCGCAUUGUGUAAGCAGCAUACAUUACAUUGUGCCUCUCCUAGCUGUUGCUGUAUCAGCAGGUUUUCACAUACAACAUGUCCGUAGCAUUGAUCUACGUUUAUUCACUAAAAAUCAUAUGUAUGUAAUAGAAAACCGAGGCAAAGCGAGCUGCUAAAAGAAAAGCUUAGCAUUGCAGCAUUUAAGCAAAAAUAGUUGCUCUGGUAAAAUGUACAUCUCUGCUAUAGUCACAGCUAUACUAUUUUAGCCUCCACUAAAAUUUAGUGAAUAAUUGAUAGGGCUUCUCAUUAAAAUGUGAAUUUCAAAUCCUAGGACAAAUACCCGCAUUUGAAUAAUAAUGUCUGCUAAUCGUUCAAUUUUGGCCUAAAAUGUUACAUUCACUUUGAAUUCCUGACAAUUCCCUUUUUAAUACAUCUGCCUGUUAUGAAAUUUGUAAUUGGAAUUCUUAUUCUGGCAUAAUGAAAAGUAUUUUCCAAUAGAAUCAGGAAUAUAUUAGUAUGAACUAAAAUCUAGUGUAUAUAGUUGAACAUUGCCUCAUCGUUCAAGAUAUACACAAGUAUACGACCAAGAAAGUGUGUACUAACAAGCUGAUCAGAGCUAUGCUUGAUGUAUACAGAGUACCAAUAACUCAUUUUGUAAUGAGGAAAAUUGUGGAGUAAAAAUAGUGACCUGUCAUAAUGCGACAUAAUAAAGUAAGACAUGAGACAAUAAACAUGUCAUAUAUGUCAAAGACAUGUCUGUCUAAUACGAGGCCUGUAGAAGGCGCAAUAAACAUACAGGUCAUAAGAAGUAAAACAAUGGAAAACAUAGCAAAUUAGUAAGUCUUGGAAAUAUUUUUGUCAAGUAAAACAAAAGCCUCUUUCGAAAUUUGAGCUAGAAUGGCCAAAUAUAUCUACAAUGGAGUUGGAUAAUAUUUCCAAAUCUGCUAUUUAUUUAUUUUUUGUACAAAUUCUGCCUUUUGGUUUUCAUAUGAGGACAAUUUGGUGUUUAGUCAAUAAGUACACUAAAUUGUAUUGGAUUGAAAACAAAACUGCAACAUUUAGACAGGGAUAGGCAGGUUGUGAUCAUACAAGUUGGAGAUUUUAGAAAUUGCCAAUGUUGCCCUACAUUUUGCAGUUCGGUUUUCAAUUUACUUCUAUUAUGUUUUAAGAUUUAAAAAAAUUAAACUAUAUUCAGUCUACUUUUCAUAUUUCUCUAAAAUUGCACAAUUUGCAUGGAACUCCGAUAUUUUUUUUUUUUUUUAAACAGGGCUUUUAAUGUGCUGUAAAAUAUUUUUACUCUUUACACAUUAAACAGUUAAACAUUUCAAUGUGGACAGACUGUCCAUGUUGAUUAACAUUCACUGAUUUAUCAGAGGACAAUUUGUAACCUUGUUAUGCUUUGUAAUGCUUGGCUACAUAGUUCAUGAGAUAAGCUACCUCUUGCCUUCUGUUCAUGUCAUGCCACAGCUCUGACCUAGCAAGACUAAGUAAUGUCAGUAUGUCCGUAUAUCGUGUGUAUUUCUAUGAGACAGCAAAAUUGCAAUACUGUUGUAGGAACUGCUUGGGCUAGUUUGUAUACAAUGUUGUGAAAUAUUGAAUCCUGAUUUAUUUAAAUUGUAAUUUAAAUAAAGAAGGAAGGUAUGUAGAAAAGGAUAAAGGUCUAGCUGACUGCCUCAAUUAAUAUUUUUUGUUCAGUAUUUACAGAUGAAAAUGAAGGAAAAAUGAGGCAUUUGUUAUAUGUGAGUUUACAGAGGAAGAGGUUCUAUUUCAACUGUCAAAAGUAAAGACAAAUAAGUCAAUGGGACCUGAUGGAAUACACCCAAAGUUAUUAAAAGAGCUUAGUGGUGUACUAGCAAAACCAUUUACAGAUUUAUUUAACCAAUCAUUGUUAACAGGAGUAGUCCCAGAAGAUUGGAAGUUAGCAAAUGUUGUGCCCAUUCACAAGAUAGGUAGUAGGGAGGAGUCGGGCAACUAUAGGCCAGUAAGCCUUACUUCAGUACUGGGGAAAGUAAUGGAAACCAUGUUAAAGGAUAGGAUUGUUGAACAUCUAAAAACACAUGGAUUUCAAGAUCAGACACAACAUGGGUUAACUUCAGGGAGAUCGUGCCAAACUAUCGUAUUGAUUUUUUUGAUUGGGUAACUAAAAUAAUAGAUCAGGGUGGUGCAGUAGACCUUGCUUACCUAUAUUUCAGUAAGGCUUUUGACACUGUUGCACAUAUAAGGCUCAUCAAUAAACUGCAAUCUUUAAGUUUGGAUUCCAAUAUUGUUGAAUGGGUAAGGCAGUGGCUGAGUGACAGGCAACAGAGGGUUGUAGUCAAUGGAAUAUAUUCGAAGCAUGGGCUUGUCACCAGUGGGGUACCUCAGGGAUCUGUACUUGAACCAAUUCUCUUUAAUAUUUUUUAUUAGUGAUAUUGCAGAAGGUCUUGAUGGUAAGGUAUGUCUUUUUGCUGAUGAUAGUAAGAUAUGUAACAGGGUUGAUGUUCCAGGAUGGAUAAACCAAAUGGCAAAUGAUUUAGGUAAACUAGAAAAAUGGUCAGAGUUGUGGCAACUGACAUUUAAUGUGGAUAAAUGCAAGAUAAUGCAUCUUGGAUGUAAAAACCCAAGGUCAGAGUACAGAAUAUUUGAUAGAGACCUAACCUCAACAUCUGAGGAAAGGGAUUUAGGGGUGAUUAUUUCCGAUGACUUAAAGGUAGGCAGACAAUGUAAUAGAGCAGCAGGAAAUGCUAGCAGAAUGCUUGGUUGUAUAGGGAGAGGCAUUAGCAGUAGAAAGAGGGAAGUGCUCAUGCCAUUGUACAGAACACUGGUGUGACCUCACUUGGAGUAUUGUACGCAUUACUGGAGACCGUAUCUCCAGAAGGAAUUUGAUACUUUAGAGAGAGUUCAGAGAAGAGCUACUAAGCUGGUUCAUGGAUUGCAGGAUAAAACUUACCAGGAAAAGUUAAAUGAUCUUAACAUGUAUAGCUUGGAGGAAAGACGAGACAGGGGGGAUAGAAACAUUUAAAUACAUAAAGGGAAUCAACACAGUAAAGGAGGAGACUAUAUUUAAAAGACGAAAAACUACCACAACAAGAGAACAUAGUCUUAAAUUAGAGGGGCAAAGGUUUAAAAAUAUCAGGAAGUUUUACUUUACGGAGAGGGUAGUGGAUGCAUGGAAUAGCCUUCCAGCUGAAGUGUUAGAGGUUAACACAGUAAAGGAGUUUAAGCAUGCGUGGGAUAGGCUUAAGGCUAUCCUAGACUAAAGAUAAGACCAGGGACUAAUGGAAGUAGUGGUUCUUAUCUGCUGUAACAUUCUAUGUAAUGUUCCAUUAUUAUUUUUUUUAGUGUUUACAUUUUUUGCGAAUUAUCCUCUUAAGUGCAUAUCCAUGGUUUUUAAUUUUAUAAUAAUCCAUAAUAAUAAUUGGUCUUCAGAGACAGAGGCUCUUGAGGGAUAUGCAAAAGAAAACCUGUCUCUUUCUCUUUCAUUUGAAAUCCAGGGCAGGUGGACACAGUCUCAUGUUAACCCAGCAGCUGACAAAAAUAAAAAAUAAAACGCAUAGCUCCACCUGUCAAACUGUGGACAUAAUCUACAGUGCCUCUUGCUGAGUAGGUAGCAAAUAAUCAAACUUCCUACCCUUUUAAUCCAUUGCUGCAAACCCUUCUUAUAAGUGGUUACCCAUACAAUAGUCUUUAUAUUUUCGUAAUGAGUAAAUAAACUGUAAUUAUUGCUGCAAGACAGGUUCCCAGCUUUUGCAGAACUACAGCUCCCAUGAUGCAUUGGCAUCCCUAAGGUUCUAUCUGUUGGCCACUCAUAGUGUAAAUCAUGUACAUUAUUAUUAUUGUAGUUUAAGGGACGUUUCGUAUUGAGAAUGCCCGUGCAAAGAUAUACCUUUUACCUUUUUGUUAUCUCACGUGUUCAAACAAUGAUAGCAAUGAUUUCUUGCUUGUUGCUAUAUUCACAAUGACCUGUUUGACAUAUUUAUUGCUAUUGUUAUCCUAAACCAUUUCAAAUCUGCAUGUCCUGCAAUUACCUGAUUUAAUAUUAGCAUUUAUAUAGUGCCAACAUAUUGCAACUUUACCAUUAUCCAAAGGGAUUAUUAGAGGUAUAGAAUGACCAGAGCAAAUGAGCUUUCAAUCUAUGAUGGUUUCAGGUAGUCGAAUAUGUAUCGUUGGGUAUCUUAGCCACUUACUGGGAUUCAAACUAAGGUGUCCCAGUUCCAACGCAGGGCCUUUGUCCUCCAUAAGUUGCUUUCUAACAAGUCUUCAAUACUUUAAAGCUGUUUUAUACAGAGUAUAAAGUCACUUAAUGAUUGUCUUUCAACAACUAUAUGCUGUUUAACUAAAUCUUCUCAGUAAUGACGCAAAAAAAUAUUCAAUUACUGUUAUUGCAGUAAUUGAAUAUUUGUUUUAUAUUUAAUUUUUUGAUUGAUGUGGAUGUUGCGGAAGUAGUAAAUAUAUGUGCUACUCCUGUUUUUGCUCUUUGUUUAUAUCAUUUACUUGUUCAAGGCAGUUUUACUUUAUUACUUGGCUGUAUUUGCAGGUAUUUUCUAGUAUGUGGUUAGUUCUCCUAACAUGUAUGCAAUUGUUUAUACUAGGAAACUGUAUACAAUCUUUUUUUAUUUUUUUUAUUUUUUGUUAAAUAGAAAUAUAUUUAAAAACCCAGAUGUAUUUCUCCCACUUUUUAAUGAGCAAAACAUCAGAUGGAGAGGAUAUAUUACAGCAAAAUAAACUCAUAAUGUGUCAGAAAUUUUCUAGGUAGAAAGACAUUUGCCAAAAAGUGGCCUAAUCCCAGGAACUAUUGUGUAUAAAUUAAACCGUAUGACUCCUGAGUAAUUAUGAUUUUUAUAUUUAUAGCAAUAAUAUAUUCUGCAGCAUUUUAAAACUGGUUAAUGUGCUUAUGUGCCUUAUUUAAUGUUGACAAUAAUGGUUAGCAGUACACUGAUUAUAUGGCAGGAAACCAGCUGAUCGCAGGAAAGGAAGUCAUUCUGCUUCCUGAAAUUGCAUCUGCAGAAAAAAGCAUGUUGUUCCAAAUGUUUUUAAGGCACAUUGCUACUCAAUGCAAAAUGACCUUUGAAAUUCAAAAUUACAUUUUUACACAUCUGUUUAAACAGUAAUUUCUCAGUUGCAAAAAUAUCAAUAGAAUCACAAUAAUUCUGUUUAUGCCUAAUAUAGGUAGAUUAAUAGUGGACAAAUCAGUAACUUUAAUUAACUUUGUUUCAAGUUGGCUCCUAGCACACUGUAUGAAAAUUUGAAUAUUGUUUUUCUGUAUGCUACAGAUCAGUUAUGGCGAACAUUUUUGAGCCUGAGUGCCCAAACUGCAAUACAAACAAACUUUUGUUUUCCUCAAAGUGCCAACACUGCAAUUAAACAUGACAAUUAGAUACACAGACAUUCACAGAUACACUGACAGACUCUCUCACACACACACUCACUGACCGACAGAGUGACUGAUACACACACUGACAGACGUACACACACACACACGCACUGAUACACAUUUCCCCCAACACUCAAAAAUUACUAAUAAACCAGCCGGCAAGGUCUUGUUCCCCCCAGGACACAAGGCUAAUAAGGCAGUGCCACCAAGUCAAAUGUUUUGCUAGCCUCGCGGUGAAUACACCGCUGGGCACCCUACCGGCGACCUAUUAGUGCCAUCACUGCUAAACAUGCCUGUUUCUACACUGUACAAUGAAAAUAACUCCUGAUAUACAUCCAAUGCAUAUUGCAUCAAGUAGAUGUAGUACAAUAGACAAAAUAAUAAUCAAGAAGCAUUUCUGCAAAACAGAACGUGUUGGCCAAAUAUAUUGAUGGGGAUUUCAUACAAAGCAUCAGCUCUAAUGAAUAGCUUUCUCUGUGUCAAUCCAUGUGUAGAGUAGUUCAUGAAGUCACAAAUAUUCACAGAUCCAUAGAUAUAUGCCCCUUCUCGGUCUCUCCGCUCUGCCCGUGACCUUCUUCUGUCCGCUGCUCGCACCCGUACGGCCAAUUUGCACUUGCAGAACUUCUCACGGGCAGCUCACUUCCUAUGGAAUAGCCUGCCUACCGCCAUCAGACUCUCCCCUAGUCUUAAAAAGAUGCACGGAAUUAGACGGCGAUUUUUACGGAUAUUUAAACCGGAGGAAAAGAAUCAUGAAAAUAUCCCUGAAGAAGUCCUACAUUGUGACAGGACGAAAUGCGUUGGAUUUAUGUAUGGACUUUAUUUCCACAUUGUUAUUUUAUAUUGUUUUUAAUCUGUAUAUAUCUGUAUUUUGGCUGCUCUUUGAUAACCCCUCCUGCCACUUCCUAUUUUGGAUUGAGGACCAUACUGCAUGGAGUUCCAAGGUUACUGAGAGAUAUGCUCUUUGUGCUAUACACACAUGUAAGUGUGACCAAUAAAUUGUGAUUUUGUAUUUUAACAACAAACUUCACUAUCUGUGAUUUCCUUUAUUUCCAUAUGUUCCAUUGAGAGGAUUUUCCAGUCGUAUCACCAUCAUAUAUUGCUCCUGAGUGGGCGAGAAGCCAUAUUCUACGUGUGUUUGUGAGUGUAUUUACAAUCACCUAUAUUUAUAUAUUGCUAAGUUUUUUUACUGUAUUACGCUAUGUUGGAUCUCUGAUUUUUAUACAGAAUCCAUAUGGAUUACAUUUUCCAUCAGGUUGUUGUAUAUUUUAUAUAUUAAUUUACACGUAUUCUGGGUGUUUUUCCACUUUCUUACUAUUGUACAUUGUUUCUCGGGUGUCUGUGAGGUACACCAGGGAAUUCUUCCAGCUAUACGUUUUUGUGUAGUGUAUAUAUAAUCCUUUAUCUAUAUCUCCCCUAGUCUUGCAUCUUUUAAGAAGUGCCUCAAAACCCAUUUCUUUAGGAAAGCCUAUGGCCUCCCAGACUAACCUCUACCUCACAUACCUGCCCCUUGCUCUCUCCUAAAGGGGAGCACUCUACUCUCUCCUCCAGCUCUGCUUCACUCCCACUUAAUUUGACUGCUAUUUCCUGUCCUAUUGUGUUUUAUACCCGACUUCCUAUAGACUGUAAGCUCGUUUGAGCAGGGCCUUCUUCAACCUAUCGUUUCUGUAAGUUUUCUUGUAAUUGCCCUAUUUAUAGUUAAAUCCCCCCUCUAAUAAUAUUGUAAAGCGCUACGGAAUCUGUUGCCGCUAUAUAAAUGGCAAUAAUAAUAUAAUGGGGAUUUGAGACAAGGGGGGAUUUGGAAGUGAUGGCUAAAAGAAGUUCACAGAGAGUUGUAGCUGCUGGUAAAAUAUAAAGGGAAUGAGGAAGUAAUUGAGUGAGACUUUUAAACAGCUGGAGAAGAAGUCUCUAGUGCUGAGAAUAAAAUGGAGAAAUUCAGUAUUUCCUGGCACUAUAGAAUCCUACAGUGCCCCCCUCCCACUGAAGGGGCUGACACCUUCAGUCACUUAUAUGAAUCCAGCACCAAUGUCCCUCUGCGCUGGGUCAGGCUCCGCCCACGCUGAUGUUGGCAGGGGAGACCUACCUAAUGCACAUGCACCGUAAUGGCAAUUAAUGCUUUCCUAUGGGGAUUCCGGUGAUGCUGGAAGUCCUCAUGGAUAGCGUGAGAACGUCCAGCAUCAUUUAGACAACCAAAAAUCGUAUGAGUACCAGGAAGGUCCUCUAGUGGCUGUCUGGUAGACCGCUACUAGAUGAGGAGUUAACUCUGCAAGGUAAUUAUUGUAGUUUCUGAGAAACUGCAAUAAUUAGGGAUUAUUCUAGUUUACAGUGAAUAAUCUAAAUUUUAUGGCAAGACAGGAGGCUUCAUAUUUGCUUAUCUUUCUUUACUGAAUCUCCCAGCAGCAAAGAAAUAGUUAAGAAAGUUGUAAAAAAUUAAACCAAUCAUAACACAACAUAGAGCAAUAUAGUGCCACCAGACUCCUCCCACUUCUUCUUUCUUAGGUGGUACCGAUCAGGAUAGUAGAACCAACUUGUAAACUGGAAACAUUCUGCGGUUUAGUCCGUAGCAAGUCAACCAUGUAAACGGGUAGAUGAAGAGGGUAAUCCGAAGUUUUCAUACUAGAAGAGAAGAAAAGAGACUUCGUGAAAGUAUGGUCUCUUGAAGAAGAGAAAAUGUACAAAUACGCAUUCUAAAACGAUAGUCCAGAGUAUCCUGACUGAUUUAAGCACAUAAUGGUACAAUAUGGAGUAGGUAUGCAAUGCCACCAGAUCAGUGUUAAUUGUAUGCCUACCAAACAAACUGCAAGGAAUGUACAAGUUUGCCCUACCUGUAUAGUAAGUGUAUGCUUACAAAUCAAUUUGCAAGGGAAUGUACAAUGCAAUAAUCUCAGAGUGAGAAUUUACCUGUAGGGUGGGUUCCAGAGUGAACGAAGGGAGGGAAAAUAUUCGCCUCCUGUCUUUAAUAAAAUUUAGAUUAUUCGUUCACUGUAAACUAGAAUAAUCCCUAAUUUUAUGGCAAGACAGGAGGCUUCAUAUUUGCUGUUUUAACGCUCUUGAAUAAAGGAACAAGCCGCAUGUGGUGUUGGUUUAAAAUAAAAGGUGCGAAAGGUAGAUUCUCUUGACUAAUCUGCGGAGGCUAAAAUAUCCUGCGCGAAACGCGGAGGAUGCGGCCGCUCCCCUAAAGGAGUGAGCUCCGAAAGAGCUAUCAAUUCCUGCUUGGGUAAGCAACCAUCAUACCCAUCGUGCAAUGGUGGGGGAGGAGACCGGUUUGUGAGGCUUAACGUAAGAGACAAACAGAGGUCCGGUAGGGGGACGCAGAGAGAUAGUGUUGUCAAUGUAACAACGGGUGCACAGGGCCACACAGAGUGACGGCCUAUCAGGAAAGUAUGGAUAAAAGACUGACGAAGAAUUCGUCUUGUAAUGGUAAAUCUGACACCGUCUGGUGCAAAGGUGACAGCGUGAGAGUCAAAAGCGUGAACGUCUGAAACUCUGCGGAAGGACACCAGACACAGUAGCAAGGCCAAUUUCGCAGAGAGUUGGCAUAAGGAUAAGGCCUCGUUAGGUGGCCAGGAAUCCAACAGUGUGAAAACCUGAGAGACAUCCCAGAACGUAGAGUUUUUGUCAGAAGGUGGCCUCGUCAAACGAAUGCCCCGUAAAAGUCUGCACACGGAAGGGUGUUUCCCAACCAAGAAAUUGUCAAUAGUGUCAUGGGCCGCCGAAAUGGCGGAACGAAAAAUAUUAAUCGAUCGGUAAGAUUUACCCUGAUCGAAGAGAGAUGAUAAGAAGUUUGAAAUGGGAGAGUGAGGUGUUGAAACGGGAUCGAGGUCCCUCUCCAGACACCAGCUAACCCAACUCCGCCAAGCGGAGAGGUAGGUUCGUCUGGUUCCUGGAGCCCACGAGUCCCAGAGGAGUGUUUGAGCUGUGCGUGAAAUACCUGUGACAUGCCAAGCUCCCCUGAAACUGUCCAAGCUACCAGUUGAAGAUGACCCUGUAAGGCGAGAGGAUGGUAAUCGCCCAUUGGGUUCCUGAGGACUCGAAAGGAAUGAGGUAGAAGGAUGGGAUAGUCUAUUGAUAGUUCCAGGAGGGUAGGAAGCCAGGUCUAGGCCCACCAUAGAGGGGUGAUUAUUACUACCCUGACUUUCUGCUCUUUGACCCGAUGAAGGGUCUGUUGAAUCAUCGAGAAGGGAGGGAAAGCAUAGGCUCUCUCCCGUGGCCAAGGUUGCAGAAAAGCGUCGACUGCCAGAGAUAGAGGGUCUGGUAGCCAGCUGAAGAAAUCAUCUGUCUGACGAUUCAGGCGAGAUGCAAAGAGGUCGAGUGUGAGAGGUCCCCGUAGGAAGUGGAUGUGAUGGAACAGGAGAGGGUCUAAUUGCCAGUCGCUGGCAUCCCUCCAAUGACGCGAAAACCAGUCCGCGACUAGGUUGUCGGACCCAGGGAGAUACUCCGCUCAGAUGGACAGAUUUCGGUCCAGACAGAACUGGUACAGGUCCUUGGUGAGGUCGGACAGAAGUUUGUAUUUGGAUCCUCCGAGUCGGUUGACAUACCGCACCACGGAGACAUUGUCCAUCCGUAGUACCAGGGAGCAAUUGGAGGCGUCCUUGGCAAAGCUGCGGAUCGCAAAGGAUCCAGCAAUGAGCUUGAGACAAUUUAUGUGGAGAGCCUGUUCCGAUGGGGACCACAGACCUCCUGUGGAGGUUUGGGCACACGUAGCACCCCAACCCAAGAGGCUCGCAUCGGAUUCCAGAAUAAAAUCUGGUUGAGACCCGAAAAUCGCUUUCCCAUUCCAGGCUUCCAUGUUGCGAAGCCACCAAUGAAGUUCGAUGAUAACUUCGUCCGUCAGAGAAAUGAAUUGAUCGUAAGAGGUUGAGCGAUGCAAGUAGGUUGUUUUCAACCGUUGCAUCGCUCUGUAGUGUAAAGGCCCAGGAAAUAUAGCUUGAAUUGAUGCGGACAGGAGACCCAGAAUGUGUGCAAGGCCGCGGAGCCGAGGCUGCUGCGAAGAAAGCAACUUUUGGAUUUCUUUCUUUAUGUUUUUUAUUUUGGGGUAAGGCAGCUGCAAAGUUGCCUGGACUGAGUCUAUUUGAAAGCCCAGAAACUGGACUACCUGAGAUGGUUCCAGGUCUGAUUUCUGGAAAUUUAUGACAAAGCCAAGGUUUUGAAGGAGAGCAGAGGUCAUGUGCGUAUGUUUGCGAAGCAAAUGUUGGUCUUGGGCCAUGAUCAGAAUAUCGUCCAGAUAUAUGAUGGAAUGUAUUCCCCGAGAGCGGAGUAGUGCCAUGACCGGCUUCAUUAACUUGGUGAAACACCAAGGGGAGGAAAAAGUCCGAAAGGAAGGCAGGUGAACUGCCAAAUUUCGCCAUGCCAGAGGAAUUGAAGGAACGCACGAUGACUUGGUGCGAUGGGGACCGUGAGGUAAGCAUCCUUGAGGUCGAAUCUGGAGAACCAGUCUCCCACGCAGAGUAGGUCCCUGAGAAGAUGGAUACCUUCGAUAUGUGAUGAACUGAUUCAGUUCUUUGAGGUUGAUAAUAGGACGGUGGUCUCCCGUCUUUUUCCGUACCAGGAACAUGUUGCCGAGGAAAGUGUUAGGGAAAGGCGAGGGUUCGAUCGCCCCUUUGUCUAAUAGUUUGUGCAACUCUGAAUCUAAGGUUAGUUUGUCUGUUUGUGACAUCCCUAAGGGUGUUGGAGGGUGGCUCUGAGUGGGGUGUGUGAGAAAAUCUAUUUUGAAACCCCUGACUGUAUGGAGGAUCCAGUGAUCCUGAGAGAGUAGUUUCCACUGUUGGGGAAAAAAAGGGUUAAUCGACCUGCAAUUGACAAAUUUUUUAAAUAAGUAAGGUCCAUUACCUGAAGCAGUGCGUCCGCGCAGGGAUGCAGAGCCACGUCCUCGAAUAGAGCCUCUGGAGCUGAAGAGCUGUCUGUGGUAGGGUCUUGUUGGUCCAGAGGACCAAUGAUCUGUGGGUCGGGGCCUGUAGCCUGCAAAGGCUGCUCUACUGGUAGCUCGGCCCCUGAAACGACCAGCUCUCCCGGAAAAACGAUGAGUUUGGGAGCGGAAGACCCUGCGUAGUGAGGACUGGGCUUUAUUAAGCGUUGAAAAUACAGAGACAUGCUUAGAGAGGUCUCGCAUAAAGCUGUCACCAAAUAGAAGACCAUCUGCUUCUAGUCCCAAUUCCUUAGAGCUUAAAUCUACUAAUUUAGCGUAUUGAAAUUGCCACGUUUGCAUUGCCUAAUAGGCAAAGCGCUCUCUGAGCCCAUUCUCUGAUAGUGUGUGGAUCGAAUUCACCACUAGUGAGUGCCUCAUCUGCCAGAAUAAAAAUCUGGAUUAUAGGACCUGAAAUGUCCAAAAGCUUGUCUUGGGCUGCUUUUAACCCUUGCUCUAUACCCUUACGAGGGUCUUUGCCAGUUUAGUCAAAAGAGUGACCAGCAUGGGGCCGAACUCAGGGGUAGAGGCAACUUUGCCAGGAAUAGUAGGUCUUGGGCAUUCAGCCCUCAAUUUAUUUCUGAGUUCUUUUUCGAGGGGCUUGCGAAGCCACAUUUUGCAGUAACUGGCAAUGUGAUCAGGAGGGGUCCAUUCUGCAGACCGUGGGUGACGAAUCACUCUUGGAUCAAAAAGGGGGAGGCCUGAAGCAUCCAGGAGGGUGUCUGAAGCAGGCUCUUUAGUUGGAGGGGCACCUUUAGCAUCUUGAACAUGAAAGGUUUCCUUAAUAAACUCUGAUGUUGAGGAAUCCUGGGGCAUAUUCACCGUAGGAUCCUCAUCAGAGUAGGUGGUGUCAUAGUCGUUUAAAAUAUGACCAGCUAAUCUGGAAGUAGAGACCUCUAGAGGGUCUGACGGGUUCUACAUAGUAAAUGUUUGAGGAUUUUCGCGGGAGCUUUGCCUUUGCCUGCAGUAGCGCCAUUCCCUUUCCAGGGUCUUUUGCGCGGGGCACUUUCUUGGUCUGAAAGGUGAGAAUCCUCUGAGUCAGAGGGUUGGCGUGUAGAGGGAUGAACCUCUGUAGUAGAUUGCUCAUGAUAAGCUGCCAGAGCUUUGGGAAUGGACUCUGCAAUGGUGGCAAAUAGCCAAUCCCGAAGUUCUGCAGAAAUAGCAGGGUCUUGGUGUUCCGACAUUUUUAAUGUUUCAUUUAUGGGAUUGACAAAGGGCAGAUUAGUAACUACAGGUAAGUGUAGUGAAAUUAUAUAAGGCAGUGUUGAUAAGUGACAAAAAAUAAAUAAAAAAUGAGGCAACUCAACUAGUAUAAUGGAGAGGUGGGGGUCACCCACACGAACUGAAAAACCAGUGGGGGUCACCCACAAUUAUUAGGCACAAUUAAGAAAGGGGGUCACCCUUUAACAAAUGGUGAACAGCAAUAAAACGUAGAUAUAUAUUCAGACAAGUAAGCCCAACGAGGUAGGGUUGCCCACUAUAGAGGACCCUGUCAAACUAAAGUGGGGGUCACUCACAAAUAACAAAGUGGUAUCUGCCAAUUUUUUUUUACAUUUUUUAUUUUUUUUAAUAUAGGCAGUAGUUAUGGUGGAGUUAAGUAGUAAAAGAAAGUGGGGAUCACCCACAAAAUAAGCAGGGUGGUGUCAACCACGCAAAAUAUUGUUGGCAGUAGUUGUGGUGGGGGUCACCCACAAAUGAAACAGAAAGGUGGUGUCAGCCACACAAUUUUAAUAAAGAAAGUUGUACAGUGAAUUAUCACUUUAACAUAAAGGGGGUCACCCAAUAAUUUAGCAGGCAGGACUUGUUGAGCAAAAUAAACCUGCAAUGAUAAGGAGAGAGAAAGAUCAGUGUGUCAUAUGGAUAAUCUACCCAUGGUCUCCUGGGAAAUGGAGUCCGUCACUAGGUAGUUUCCUGACAGGAGGGGAGGAGGGAAGGAAAAACCCGGCGGGCAGUUUCUGUGUGCGGACGAAAUUAAAAAGGAAUAUAAUAAAAGAGGACAUAUUCCAAUUGAAAAGGGAGAAUAAAAGACACUUGUAAAAGAACAUAUUAAAUUAAACAAAAGGUGUUAAAAGGAAAUUAACCUGAGGCAAGCUAAAACUAUUAUUGAGCUAUCUCAGGAUAGGAAAACAGAUAAAAAUCAUCAAAUAAUCUAAGAGAAUUUUAAAUUUAAGUACUGAAGCUAGGCAACGUAAUUGGAAUAGACUCACCUGGGAGGCAAGCAGCAAAGAAAGAGGAAGUGGGAGGAGUCUGGUGGCACUAUAUUGCUCUAUGUUGUGUUAUGAUUGGUUGAAUUUUUUACAACUUUCUUAACUAUUUCUUUGCUGCUGGGAGAUUCAGUAAAGAAAGAUAAGCAAAUAUGAAGCCUCCUGUCUUGCCAUAAAAUUACCGCUGUUGGUUAAGGGACAUGGGACUUCAAUUAGCUGAAGAGGUCUGGGUGCCUACAGUGACCCUUUAAGUGCACAUAAAAAAAGUGUAAAGAUGUUUUUUAUUUUUUUUUUAUUCUGCCCUGUCCGUUUUGUGUUCUGCCAGUGUAUAUUUUGUAUUAAAUUGUCACUGAAUAAAUGAUCAUUAUGAAGAGUAAUUCAAGAAUGCUAUAUCAUGUCUUCUUCCAAGCACCUCUAACUUUUUUCCAGAAGUCCUUUGCUACAGGCUGGACGUAGUCCCUCAUCAUUCAUGGCCGUGUGAAACUACAAGGCAACAAUUAUGCUGGGCCUCCGUUGAUUUGAGGAAUAAAAAAAAUAUGUAGCCCGUGUAGCGCCCUCUGUUGGUAGCAACAGCAAUAUGCACUACCUGAAUAGCAAGGCUGUUUAAUUUGCAUAUUCAGAUAAUUUCCACAUUGCUGUUUCUGCAGGCAGUAGAGAUGUUUUGUUUGUGUUUGUUAUUGUCUUCCCCAUUAUUGUCUUUAUAAAUUUGCUAUUAGGUUAUUAUAAUUUCCUGUAUAUUUUGUGACAUGUUUUGGUUAUUUGAAUUUUAUUAUGUUUGUUACAGCAAUAUAUAUGUAAUGAGCCUAUAGGCUAUUUCCGAGUAAAAAUAAAGUUUUGUAUAUUAAUUAUUUUUGGAACUUGUGUCCUGUGUGGAUUUUUAGGGUGACAGAGUUUUCAGACCUCUUUGCUGGUUGCAGAAUCCCUUUAGCCCUGGGAUAAAUCACCGAUACCCAGCCAGGGUACAGGGAGCUCUGUCACAUAAACAAUAGGAGGACAUUGUAUAAAAAUGGUUAUACAGUAAUUUCCAACCAAAGCAGGCACAAUGCUGAGUCCCAAAAGGAUAGUGGCAGUGGUUCUGUUUCUAUGCUGUGUGAUGGCAUAAAAAGCUAUGUUAGUGAACAGUGCUCAUUGUGAAUAACUCCCACAGAAAUGUCUCUGGAAAUUAGAAAAUCUGUUCUGAGCUUAUUUACAUACUUCACAUUGCAUUAUGGGAGAUUUAUUGACACUAAUUUUUCACAGCUGCUGAAUCUGGGGCAUCUUUUUUUUUUUAAUAUUUAAUUUUGGAUUCUGUACUGUUUUAUUUGGUAAUUAGAAAAAUAAAUGUAUGCGUUAUCCUGAACACCUUAAUAAAAUAGGGAGACAUAAAUCCACAUCUCUAAUUAUAUACAUUUCAGUGAUUGCUCAGUGGAUAUUCCUAUACUAUACAAAUAAUAAUCUGCAUUUGCAAUAUGUCUCUCUUCCCAGCAUUGGUCCGUACCUCUAGUUUACAUGUUUUUAAUUGUUUGUUAUAUAAAUCCAAAUCCUCGUUUUGUUUCAAUGCAUUUCAGCCAUGGAAUGUUGGUUUUUGAAACUGGCAAAUUGUGAAUAUCUCUUUUUGUGUGAAUGCGCAGUAACUCUCACUUGUUUUCUGAAAGUUCUUGAACAUUUUGAUUGUGUGCCAACAAAGGAAACUCACAGCUUCCUGUCUUGCAUCAGAUCUAGCUUGUUCCCUCGGUUUCUCUUCUUUGUCACACUUAAAUUAAACAACAGUCCCCAUACGUAGAUUGUCAGUCAGUGUGUUUACAGCACUCAGUAGGUGAUACUUAAGUAUUUUAUUGUGAUAUACCAAAAAAGAACAAAAUUAAAGGGUACCAGUCAUGCCUCCUGUAACAUAUGCACUUUCAAAAGAGGAUAACAUUCUAUCAAGCAGAUUUUUUAGUAAAUGUAUAGAUUGGGAGAAAAAACAACAACUAUAUUUAAACAGGUUUUUCGUACACCUGUCAGUCCGUUCUUUGGCAUAGACUCUGUGCCGACGAACUGACUUGACAAGGACAAACAGAAGAGACAUCCCUCAGGCAGUCUUCUGCUCUCCACAUAUAGCAACCAUAGUGCAUUAGCUAUGGUAACUCCCAACCCAAGCAUAUCCAAGCAGGGCAAAUAUAAAGCAAACAACAUGGAGGAGUGGAGGUGGGUGUUAUAAGAAAAGUAACACCCACAAAGCUGAAGAUAUGGCAGCAGUAGAAAGGAAGUGAGGUGAAUAUAUCUUAAUAUUUACACUUAAUGCCUCAUGUAUCCCUGUGGUAUAUAAUGUAGUGUGUGUGUGUGUGUGUGUGUAUGUGUGGGUAUAUAUAUAUAUAUAUAUAUAUAUAUAUGUGUAUGUGUGUGUGUGUACAAUUUAAAGGAAGUGAAAAAUGACAGGUUCACAUUAAAUUUAUAAUGUCUAUGAUGACUGAACCAACACUAGUUAAUGUGUUGCCACGACCCUUCCAAAUGAUUGAAUGUGAGACGAGCCCACCAUAGUACAUCAUUGCUUAUUUAUUCAUGGGGAGCAGAUCAAAGAAAGGAAUCCAACUUUCAUUCUAUCUUGUGAAUUAAUAUAUGUAUAUGUGAAAUCUACACACAUCUCCAUUAUUAACCUCUCCUAUAAGUCACAUGCAAGAUACUUUGCAUAUAUGGUUUAAUAAGUAAACAGUGAGUUGACUAUGAAUCUGCUAUUUUUAAGCUUUGAGUACUUUGAGUACUAAAAAAAACAAACUGCUUUUCAGGUUUUGACACAUUUUGGUUAAUCUUCUUCAUUUUACUUCCUGUUCUUUUAUAAGGCUGGAUCUCUAUACUGAUGCUGCUUUAAAAGGACUUUACAUGUUUUUAAACCUCUUAGGGCUGGAUUUGUGUGUAUACUAGGCAGCUGUCUAUAGGUGCCUCUCUACUAGAAACACCGUGACCUACCCUUAUCCCAAAUAUGCUUAACAGUCCAUCAAUCAUAGAACUCAAACUAAUUUUUCAAAAAUGGAAAGAUACAGUUGCAAGAAAAAGUAUGUGAACCCUUUGGAAUGAUAUGGAUUUCUGCACAAAUUGGUCAUAAAAUGUGAUCUGAUCAUCUAAGUCCCAACAAUAGACAAUCACAGUCUGCUUAAACUAAUAACACACAAAGAAUGAAAUGUUGCCAUGUUUUUAUUGAACACACCAUGUUAACAUUCACAGUGCAGGUGGAAAAAGUAUGUGAACCCUUGGAUUUAAUAACUGGUUGAACCUCCUUUGGAAGCAAUAACUUCAACCAAACGUUUCCUGUAGUUGCAGAUCAGACGUGCACAAUGGUCAGGAGUAAUUCUUGACCAUUCCUCUUUACAGAACUGUUUCAGUUCAGCAAUAUUCUUAGGAUGUCUGGUGUGAAUCGCUUUCUUGAGGUCAUGCCACAGCAUCUCAAUCGGGUUGAGGUCAGGACUCUGACUGGGCCACUUCAGAAGGUGUAUUUUCUUCUCUUUAAGCCAUUCUGUUGUUGAUUUACUUCUAUACUUUGGGUCAUUGUCCUGUUGCAACACCCAUCUUCUGUUGAGCUUCAGCUGGUAGACAGAUGGCCUUAAGUUCUCCUGCAAAAUGUCUUGAUAAACUUGGGAAUUCAUUUUUCCUUCGAUAAUAGCAAUCCGUCCAGGCCCUGACGCAGCAAAGCAGCCCCAAACCAUGAUGCCCCCACCACCAUACUUCACAGUUGGGAUGAGGUUUUGAUGUUGGUGUGCUGUGCCUUUUUUUCGCCACACAUAGUGUUGUGUGUUUCUUCCAAACAACUUAACUUUGGUUUCAUCUGUCCACAGAAUAUUUUGCCAGUACUGCUGUGGAACAUCAAGGUGCUCUUGUGCAAACUGUAAACGUGCAGCAAUGUUUUGUUUGGACAGCAGUGGCUUCCUCUGUGGUAUCCUCCCAUGAAAUCCAUUCUUGUUUAGUGUUUUAUGUAUUGUAGAUUCACUAACAGGGAUUUUAGCAUUUGCCAAUGACUUUUGUAAGUCUUUAGCUGACACUCUAGGAUUCUUCUUCACCUCAUUGAGCAGUCUGCGCUGUGCUCUUGCAGUCAUCUUUACAGGACGGCCACUCCUAGGGAGAGUAGCAGCAGUACUGAACUUUCUCCAUUUAUAGACAAUUUGUCUUACCAUGGACUGAUGAACAGCAAGGCUUUUGGAGAUACUUUUAUAACCCUUUCCAGCUUUAUGCAAGUUAACAAUUCUUAAUCGUAGGUCUUCUGAGAGCUCUUUUGUGCGAGGCAUCAUUCACAUCAGGCAAUGCUUCUUGUGAAAAGCAAACCCAGAACUGGUGUGUGUUUUAUAGGGCAGGGCAGCUGUAACCAACACCUCCAAUCUCAUCUCAUUGAUUGGACUCCAGUUGGCUGACAUCUCACUCCAAUUAGCUCUUGGAGAUGUCAUUAGUCUAGGGGUUCACAUACUUUUUUCCACCUGCACUGUGAAUGUUUACAUGGUGUGUUCAAUAAAAACAUAGCAACAUUUCAUUCUUUGUGUGUUAUUAGUUUAAGCAGACUGUGAUUGUCUAUUGGUGGGACUUAGAUGAUGAUCAGAUCACAUUUUAUGACCAAUUUGUGCAGAAAUCCAUAUCAUUCCAAAGGGUUCACAUACUUUUUCUUGCAACUGUGUGUAUGUAUAUAUAUAUAUAUAUAUAUAUAUAUAUAUGUAUAUAUAUGUAUAUGUGUAUAUAUAUAUAUAUAUAUAUAUAUAUAUAUAUAUAUAAAACUUUCCCUGCCUAGAAUACUCAGUCUUAUUUUUAUUUUAUUUUGUUGGGUUAUUAUGGAUUGUUACUUUUUCACUUUAGGUAGAAGAAAUAAUAAGGAAAUCUACAAUCAAGCAUAUAUUUUUACAGGAUAUUUUAUUAUAUUACAAGUGUAAGGGAGGGAGGUAUAGACACAUUCUGGAUCUUAGGGAUCCCUAGCCACCCCUUUGUGUGGAGAUCUCGAGUACAUUAACAGGCUCAGGAAACUAGAUGUUUUCUGGGUCUUAAUAUUUGCACAUGUAAAUUGUCCCAGGAGCCUUGAUCAGAGGAGCAAUAUAACUCUGCUUUGACACUGCAAGAUUUUAACCCUUUCAGUACUGAACACUUAAUUGAAAAAAAAUAUUAGCAUAGCAUGUAUAUGAAACAAUGGAUGCAUAGCUAGCAUACGAACAUAUCAUAACAUAGAAAUUUUGUGUAUAUAUUGCUUCGAAGACAAAUGUAAAAAUUACAAUUAUGUGAAUUUACACAAUUUCUAUUAAUAACUUACACCGGGUUGGAAAUGUUGGUAUAAAAGCAAACAUGCCAUUUUCUCACAUUCAGUAUAUGAACAACAAGGCUUUUGGAGAUACUUUUAUAACCCUUUCCAGCUUUAUGUGACAAAAUAAAUUACUGGUCCAUUACUUUGUUUAUAGGUACUUUUGAUGACCCUGAAUGUAUCUCUAGCAAUUGUGAAAAAUGGCACAGAAUUUGUCUGCUUUGGAGCAUAAUGCCUGUAUACAGUAAAUACAAUUAAAUCAUAUUUUUACAUUAAAUCUAUUUUGAACUGUAGCAAUCUUUCUCAAUCACUGGAAUUCUAAUGUGAGGCUAAUUGGGAAAUGGUAGAGUCCAUUUACUCCUCCUCCUCCCUCCUCCCUCCCUCCUCCCUCCCUGACAGUAAGAAUAUGACCCUUUGAAACUUUGGGUACUGUUUGGAAGCAGGGGGUGAGCUUACAAUUUUCGCAAACUGACAGUCAUUGAUCAGUGAUUCUGGCAGAGCAAUUUGUUUCUCUACAAGCUGGAAACCAAAACUAGAGUUUACAUGAAUGAUUUUUUUUUUAUGGACUAGAGUUAAUUCUGCAAAAUACAUGAAAAUAAAAUGUAUUAGUCUUCCUCAAUUGAAAUGUCCAUUCUUUCUUUAAGGCUUCUUAUACUUUUUAAAUGCCAUGUGUGAAUAUCCUGUAGCAAUACUUUUAAUUCAGGUAAGACGACCUGCAACACCAGAUAUUUAUGACACAUAAUGUGUUGUAAAGUCACUGACUGUAAUAUGAAAUCUCCAUGUGAGCUACAGUAGCAGUUGGUGAUGUUUUUAGAUGGUUGAGCAUUAGAUUCUGAUAUAUGUAAUUGACUCUGAAUUGGCGAGUGAUGCUGCAAGUUAAAGAACUUAAGCAUGCAUAUAACAUGAACAACAUACAAUUCUACUCAUUAAUAACUAUAAAAUUUCCUAACAAUAUCAAUGAAAAAAAACCCCUGCAUUUUAAAAGUUUAUCAAAAGAUAUUAAAUCACUUGGAAAGCGUAUCCAACAAUAUUCAUCAAAGCUAAUAAUGAAAAAAAGUUGUUUUUUUUAAAUGUAGCUAUUGUUUCAUAAAAUACUAUAUUUCUAGAAAUCUAGAAAUCUUUGACCCUCCCCCAGGUAGAAUUAUUUAAGCUACUGUCAUACAAUAUACAUUCAUAAGUAUACUAUAUAAACAUACACAGAUGACAGAAGUACUGUAAUACCUAUGGCCUCCAACCUUCUUUCCAGGAAACUUUUCCCUCCGCCGGGGCGAGCUGUCAUGUCGCACAAAAUGUGAACCAUGAUAGGGGCGUCUGGGAAGGGAGGGUUAUACACACAUUUCCCACUGAUGUUCUGGAACUCUCUGAUUACCUAAUGUGAGCGCCCGAACCUCAGUGAUUUACUGUUCUGAAAACAUUGUGGCAGUGCUGUGGGCGGGCAACGGACCCUCUAUGUCGGAUUAUCUGGGUGCUGCAGCAGCGUUGGGGCACAGAGCCCCGUGAUGGAGGAGUAGGCAGACAGGAGUAGGACAGGAAUCUAGGAGUUCGGUUAAACUCCAGUCAGAAGCCACACCACUGCAGCUACAACAAAGGUAAGUGUCAUUUGUGGCUGCAGUACACUGCACCCUUAGGACACAAACAGGCCCACACACUGCAACCCAGUACACAGACACACUGUAUCCCCAGCUCACACACUGCACUCCUAGCACACAGACAUACACACUAUACAUCCCCAGCACACACACAGACACACUGCAUCUCCAGCACCCCAAGCACACAGACAUACACACUAUACAUCCCCAGCACACAUACAAACACACAGUGCACCCCUAGCACACAUACACACUAUACAUCCCCAGCCCAAACACAGUGCACCCCUAGCACACAUACACACUAUACAUCCCCAACACACACAGUGCACCCCUAGCACACAGACAUACACUAUACAUCCAAAGCGCACACACAGACACACAGUGCACCCCUAGCACACAGACAUACACACUAUACAUCCCCAGCACACAUAGAAACACAUGUAAAAUGAAAUCCAAAUGGCAAAAUUUAUGCUAAAAUUGCCUAUAUGACUAUAGUUGCUUACCUCUAAUCCUGUUUCCUUUCCAACCAAAGUUCUGCUCUGCUCGUAGGAGAUCUACUGCGGCUCUCCUGUGCCAAUCCAAUACUUCUCUCAUAGAGAACCACUGGGGUCUUAUGGUGCAUGUGUGGCAAACUCUGUGCUUUAGGGGUAAGAAAUGUUCCAAUAAAGUUUGCUAUUCAGGUUUCAGUUUGCUAAAAUUCUGAUUUUUGUGAAUAACCCAGCUGCUGUUGUAGGUCAACACCCAGACUAUUUUCCCAGAGUCCCCAUGCGGUGUCUUGAUUUGCCAUUUGUUUUUUGCGUUUACUGCCUUUCAUAUUUAGUUUCUAAUUGCCCUGUCAAUUUCCCUUGUUUUAUUUUUUAUUUUUUUUGUUGUGUCAGAGGAACAAGCAAUCCUGUGCUGCCCCAACAGCAGAUGCAAGAGAUUAAGUAUACAUAGGUCAACAGUGUAGGGCAGUUUAUUUUUUAUAAUAAUAGAAAUACAAGUAGUAAGCAGCUUUUAGCAACAAUAUUGGUAAUCUUGUGUAAAAGUGUGCCUAGCAUGAGACGUACUCCGAUAUGGACAAGGGAAGGGUGAGCAUGAAAAAGAAUACGUCUGGCUACAUGAAUCAAAUUGCAAGCUAUCGUGUAUAUGUUUUAGGUAUAUAGGUAGUUAGACAUUACUGAUAAUGAGUGAAAGGUAACCGCACGCUAGUAAAGGAGCAUACUGAUAAAAAAAUGAUAGAGUGAACAUAACAGUAAUGAUGAUGCCUGCUAACUUGUGCUAUAAACUUCGAGAGCAGAAAUAACAUGAAAUACAAUGCCGGGUUGUCACACUACUGCUGGAUAGCCAGGCUUAGUUCAGGAGUCCACCACAAUGAGCUGAGCAGAAGCGGAGGCCAGGCCUGCAAUAUGUGCCAGAGGGACGUUAUAGUCCACCUGUAUUUUCAGCCAAUACCCGCCUUCGGUGAAGCCUGUUGGGCUCUCCGCCGGUCCAGAGGGGGGGGAGAAGGAGGUGCAGAGACCCUUUGAUUCAGCUCCGGGAGAGCAGCCGCUACCACACCAGUCUAGAUCCAAGGCCGCAAUGGCUGGUGAACUGUCAUUUCGGACCGACAUGGUUCCAAGUUGGUAUUCGUCGGUUUGCAGAAUCUCCCACCAUGCGGUAAGGUGUAUUUUACAGGGUAUCCUGCAGUCUGAAGCUGUUUAGUUUGUGAAGCUCAGGAGCUUGUUCGGAACGCGUCCGCUCUGCUUGCCAGUCACCUGACAUUUCCUUCACUUCAGACAUAAAAGGUUAAGAGCAAAACAUAAUGGGAGAUUGGAAUGUCAAUGGGACAGAUAACAAUUUGGGGCAGAUGAUAUGACAAUAACAAGUGGACACAGAGACACAAUAUACCCUAGAGGGUAAGAUAAGGGGAAUAUUACUGGAAAUCAAAGGAUAGGGGCUUACCAAUCAAAAAGCGGUAGAACAAAGAACAAAUCUCAAUUAAGGGAGCAGAUUAUCAAAGAUGGGGUAGAAAAAUUUAGAAAAUUAGCAAAGGAAGGGUAAAUCUGAAAUUGAAUGAGCAUCAUAGGCCUUGCCUUGCUAUGUCCUGCUUGUGCAGUGAGACAUAACAGUGAAUGAGACUAUCACUAAUGGUGCCUUGCUUUAUGACCUUGCAAAUAAAAGUGCUACGUCCUAGUCAUAUGUAAUUCAGCUGCCCCAUCUAUAAAACACCCCUACAUGAAUUCCUCACUGCUCACUUCUUAACAUUUCUGAGCCUCCGGUGGUCUAUAUAUCUUCCUGACUUUCACUUUUUUUUUUAGCAAUUUGACCUUUCCUAUAUUGCUCAAAUAUACAUCCAUGCAGUCUGGUCAGAACAGUGGUUACUGUUACUGACUACUACAUUUACCUGUUACUUCAGUUUUACUAAUAAUUCUGUUCUAUUAUUUACUGCCUAGAGGUGAGUUGCACCUACACAUUUCAAAACCAUUUCCUCUGGUAUGUACUCAUCUAUGCUUCUGGGUUCCAGCUACCACACAGUAACAUGAUACUCCUUCUGAGAUGGAAGCCAUGGAUCUACUUGUAAUGGAGUAUUUUGAUAUCGAUUGUGGGAAUCUUUAGCUUGGGAUUCCUUUAAUUAGGUAAGUUUUUAUCUAUUUCCUCUACUUACUGAAAGUAGCAAAUGUGGCUGUUCUAGUCUCACAGCCAGUAACCCAUGCAUCGUGCCAUUUGGGCCUCUAUUGAAACUGUUUUGAACACAGCAACUCUGUACCAGCAGAUGGAAAAUCUACACAGUAUCAUAUUGAGGAUUCCAUUGCACCACAAUGGGACAUAAUUGGGGAAACAGGAAGUAACAUAGGGAUUUGACAAUGAGGUGGGAUUGCUGAGGGUGAGUUGGGUGGAGUUGAGAAUUAUAUGGGGGGGAGGGUAACUUAAGUUGAAAAAAAAGGGGCCCAUUGAAGACAUUGGACUUGACAAUGAGAUGGGGCCUAAUAAUGAGGUAAGGGUGGUGCUGUGAAAACAUUGGGGAUCUAGGGAUGAAAUGGCGUUUUUUUCUUUUUCUUCAAUUUCAUGCAUUUCUGUCCACUUAUAGAAAUACACACCAUGCUGGCACAAUUCAGUAUUGGGCUGGUAUAAAAAAAGCACAGGGUUACUUUGUAUGUGAUAUACUUAUGUAGCAUACAAAUAGGUCCGUGUUUAUCAUCUCCUAUUAUUCUCUCUAGGGCCCUGUUUUAUUCUGUGAAUGGGGCAGCUGAGUGUUGUGUCUAUUGGUUGCCUGAGUGUUGCAAAUUUUCCAACUCCAUUGUCCUGCAAACCUGGAUGCUGGUGGGAGGAAGGUAAAGGGGCCAGACCAAUGGUGCGAUUGUUUCCAUAACACCCUCCCCAAAGGGUUGUACCCACCUUGAAAGGGGGCACGUUUGCCCAAAUUAAUUUCAGGUCAGCCUGGCAUGAAUGCAUGCCAAGCUGCCUGUCCAGCAUGCUGGCCGGCUCACUUAGGGCAGACCCUACAAGGAGCACUGUUUCAGUGCUAAUCCUAGUGCAAGUGCGUCUAUUAAUACGCUUGUGCUAUGAUUGUUGGGGACUGUUCCCUGGUGUUCCCAAACGUGGAACACCAGGGAACUAAGGCAGGAUGGGAUUCUUGAAAGGCAUAGUGUUGUGUAUGGAGGAGAGAAUGUUGUGGGGAGGUGGAGGCUGAGUGUGGCUGUGAGUAUUGGAUGACUGUUGUGUGUGGAGGGGACUUAGUGCUGUAUAGAGGUGUAACUAGAAACCACCAGGCCCCCAAGGUGUCUCAUCCCCCCGCCCCCUCCAUGCGUCUUAUUCUCCCCUCAGCCCAGUGGCGUACAUACCGCAGUCACAGGGGUCGCAGCUGCAACCGGGCCCGUCACUCCAGGGGGCCCAGCCGCCCUGCGGACCCCCGUGACCGCUGGGGUCGCAUGUUAAGGGGUCCAUCGGGUGGCCCAUGCUGUCAGGGCCACCCGAUGGAUAUGGAUUGUCAGGGGCCCCGUCUGCGCUGGGCGCUUUAACAGCGCGACCGGGCCCCCUGUGAUGAGAUCAUCACUGCUGGGAGGAAGUGACUCCCCUGUCACUCCUCUCAGCUAUCAGAGCUCGCGCAGGAGGAAACAGGAAGGAGGAGGGAGUCAGAGUGGGAACUCUGACUCCCCUCAGGCUGAGCCCCUACUGGACCCCAUGGAAAGUCACAAAAGGUAAGAAAUCGUGAAACAUUUUGUGUAUGUGUGUGUUUCUGUUUUGUGUGUGUCUGUGUCUCUGUAUGUCUCUGUAUGUAUGUGUGUGUGUCUGUGUCUCUGUGUGUGUGUGUCUCUGUAUGUGUGUGUGUAUCUCUGUGUGUGUGGGGGUCUAUGUGUGUCUCUGUAUGUGUGUAUAUGUAUGUGUCUAUGUGUGUGUCUGCAUGUGUGUGUGUCUAUGUAUGUGUCGGGGUGGCCCACGGAUCAGGGGAGAGAGGGGAGGGAAAAAGGGGGGCCCCACGGAGCAGUUUUGCACCGGGGCCCCAUGGAUUGUGUGUACGCCACUGCCUCAGCACCUCCAUGUGUCUAAGUCUCCCCCCCAGCCCAUCCAUGUGUCUCAUUCCCUCCCCCCAAGCCCCUCCAUGUGUCUCAUUUUCCUCCAGUCUCUCAAUGUGUCUAAUUCCCACCCCAGCCCCUCCAUGUGUCUCACUCUCCCCCCAACACCUCCAUGUGUCUCAUCCCCCUCCCAGCCCCUCCAUGUGUCACAUUCCCCCCAGCCCCUCCAUGUGUCUCAUUCCCCCCCCAGCCCCUAUGUGUCUCAUUCCCACAGCCCCUCCAUGUGUCUCAUUCACCCAGUCCCUCCAUGUGUCUUAUUCUCUCUCCCCAGCCCAUCCAUUUAUCUCAUUCUCUCCACUCAAUCCCCUCCAUGUGUCUCAUUCCCUCCAUCCCCUCUAUGUGUCUCACUUUUCCCCCAAUCCCCUCCAUGUCUCAUUUCCCCCAGUGCCUCCAUGUCUUAUUCUCUCCCCCCAGCCCAUCCAUGUGUCUCAUUCCCACCCAAGCCCCUCCAUGUGUCUCAUUCCCCUAGUCCCUCUAUGUGUCUUAUUCUCUCCCCCCGGCCCAUCCAUGUGUCUCAUUCUCUCCACCCAAUCCCCUCCAUGUGUCUCAUUCCCCGCGUACCUCUAUGUGUCUCACUUUUCCCACAAUCCCCUCCAUGUGUCUAAGUCCCACCCUAGCCCCUCCAUGUGUCUCACUCCCCUCCAACCCCUCUGUCUCAUUCCCCCCAGCCCCUCCAUGUGUCUCAUUCCCCCAGUCCCUCCAUGUGUCUUAUUCUCUCCCCCCCAGCCCAUCCAUGUGUCUCAUUCUCUCCACCCAAUCCCCUCCAUGUGUCUCAUUCCCCCCCAGCACCUCCAUGUAUCCCAUUCCCUCCCCCCAGCCUCUCAAUGUGUCCCAUCUCCCCCCCACAGUCCCUCCAUUGUCUCUCCCCUCCUGUACCUGUUUACCGCAGUACCCGGUCUGACUGGAAGUGCUCCCUCAACGAGCACUCCCAGUCAGACCGCAGCCCGCUUGGCCACGCUACAGAUAGCUGCAGGAGAGGAGCAGCACAUUGCAGCGAUUCCCUCCUGACGGUCAUCCUGCGACCACGCACACUGGGCCGAAGUGGCAGUGCCCUGAAACUAUGCGGCCCAUGUAUAUGUGUGUGUGGGAGGCUGAGUGUGCCUGUGUGUGGUACUUUGGUAUUGUGUUAAGUGUUUCUGUGGAAGGGGGGGAAGCUGUGCUGUGUGAGUGUUGUGGGUGUUGGGAGAGGAGGUUGAGUAUAUAUUUUCCUCCUUAUAGUUUAGCAGAACUAUAUGGGGGGUGUUGAAAUAAUCCCUGGUGGCCCAGAGGAGGGACACUGGGCUGGAUCCCGGGUGGUGGUAUAGUGGGAGACCUUGUGGCCUGCACCUUGGUUGUUUACAGAUGAUCACAAUGAUGUAGAGCGCUGACUGCAGCACUUUGAGUAAUUGAAAAGAGCUGGCAUUGUGAGGGAGAUCUUAAAGUGAUCUAUUCCCGGUAAAAUGAAUCCAGCCAGGACUCACUGUUAUUGACAAACAUUUUAUGGAUUGCUGAUAUAGCUUGAAGAUAACAUUGCAAACAUGCGCUUAGCUGGGAAACAAAAGUAUUUAGCAAGAACUGUCUGCUUUUUUCAAAUCACAUUUACAUAUCUAGAGCACAGUAUACAACUGUGGGAUACAUGCACACACAGAAAGAUGGCAUGACUAACAUAAAGACAGAUUUAAUAACAAAUCCAGGAACAUGUUGAGAAUUGACCUGUGAAAUUUACAUUUUUUUAUUUUGUUUUGAAAAUCUUUUAUUUUAUUGAAAGAUUGAGUAGUACAGAAUAAGCAUAACAUUUGUCUGGCGGACUCGUAGGUCCACUUUGAAAGUACACGUAAUCGGUCAUUUACACGUUUCAUAAUUAGCACCCAAUUAGAUUUGUGUGUAUACCGUAUAUCAGGUAUCGCCUUGAGCUGUGUUGUAAUUGUCAGUUGGUUAGUCGAGGCUUAUAUCAGCAUCAGUCAGUAGCAAGGACUAUGGUAUCUAUCAUGAGGGCUACUUGCAUUCUGUCCAGAAGAGCAGAGUAUUGCUUGUCGCGUUUUAUCGUCAGAAUGCACAUCAACGUGUGGGAGUUACCACCCCAUGUCUGAUGUAAUUGAGUCAGGCGUAGGUCUUAUUCCUACCGUUUUCCCAGUCCCUGUCCCCGGAUGUAUUUUUCUUUCGGAAGUCGCAAUGCUGUAUACUGGAACCGGUAUUUGGCUAAUAUGAGGAGGUGUGGUCUCCCCUAGGUCUCGGUGAGUAGUCUCAUGUCCUGAUUUUGGAUAAUGGAAGCGUAAGGUGGAUGUGUGGUCUCGUUUAGUUUGUGCACGUGCAAUGCAUAGUACAUCGUGUGGGUCCGGUGUUGUAUAGGGGUCCACACUUAUAUAGUCUUGGAGACAUGGUAUCCAGAGUGAGUGUAAGUGUAUGGUAAAUGUCUGAUCGGUUAAAAGUGCAGGGCAGUAAGAGGGUAGGGCAGGAAAGAAAGGGAGGGAGGUAAGGAAAGAAUGGUGGGGAGGUAUCCAUGAGGACACCCCGCCCCACAGCGCCCCCGGCCCGGUCCCCCCCGCCGCCUCCCCAGCGCCCCCCCGUCUACAGGCCCCCAGAGACAUACGCGAACCACGGCAUCCAAGUUUCCGCAUGUUUGGUGGCCCUACCCGUGAGAGAUGCAUGUAUCGCCUCUGCCCCCUGUAUCUCCUCCACCCUGCGUAUCCAUUCUUCUUUGUGGGGUGUGACAGGUUUUUUCCAGUAUACUGGGAUAAGCGCUUUGGCCGCAUUCAAGAGGUGUCGCAGGAUCGAGCGUUUAUAUUGGGAUAUUGACAUUGGUGAUAUGUGAAGUAAAGCCAAUUCGACUGUCCAUUCGGUCAUUUCCCCUAGUAUGUCCUGUAUGGUAGAUCUGAUCAUUUCCCAGUAGCAGGCGAUUUUGCUACAGUCCCACCAGAUAUGCAUCGUAGUGCCCUGCUCCGUCAAGCAUCUCCAGCACGUUGGAGGUAUCGUUGGGAAUAUUCUGUGCAGCAAAGAUGGGGUUUUAUACCAGUUUGUUAACAGUUUAUAAUUUGUUUCCUGAAAGCCUGAGCUAAUAGAGCUCUUGUAGUGCCAAAGUAGAGCUUUGUCCCACUGUUGUUGCGUGAAUUGUGUGAAAUUUAAAUUUUAGGCCAAUGUAUUCUCAAACUUUUUCACACAACAAAUGGUCCAAAUCAGCUUUCUUGGCUCAAAAUUUGACAUUCCCCAGUAAUUUCUUGUAAUACCUGGUGUGGUCAAUAAUCCUGAAUGUGCUUCCCCUGAUGUUUCAGGAUACAGAUCUGCAUAGAAUGUAGAACUUAUUUGCCAAGCUCGUGUUAUGUAAAUGCAUACGGAACCAACUAAGCAAUCGGUUCAUGUAGGCAAACAGUUCAUAUUCAUGCAAGAUGGCAAAUGAAACCAUAAUUUCUGACAAGUAUUGUCUAAUUUAUCAUCCUCUUUAUUAUAAGUUGCAGUGGUUUAUCUGUCAUUGAAAGUCAUCAAGGAUAAAGAAAGAUGGAUAGACAAACAGACAUAGAUAGAUAAACAGAUUUCUAAUACACAAUUGCAUCCUCUAACUGCCCUUAGAAAACAACAAUGUCAAAAUAUGAGUUAUUUAGUUCUGUUUAGUGUGCAUAGUACAUGAAUAAAAAGAGCAGGAAAUGCAAAACUGGCUAACCAGGCAUUGGUGAUUAUAAAAAUAUGGGCUGCAGAGACCUCUAGUGGUUAAAGUAGAAAGGUGAUUGUAUGACGUAAGAUCUUGUAAAUGGUAAAAGGAUAAACUUGAAUAGAAAUGUGUGAUCACUUUAGACUAGGGCUUAACAAUAAAUUUUUCCCUUGGAACCCUUUGACAUGGUAUAGGAAAACUUUGGAACUCCAACAAAAAAAAAUGUGUGCCGUCGAGUAGCGCAGUGCAGGGCAAACCUUUCAAUGAGCAGAGUGUAAUUUUCUCUUUUGCUGGCAAUUUUUUUUUUUAUAUCUGGUUUAAUUGUUGACAAUUGUAUUCGCAUGUCUGCAGUUGCAUCAAGUCGAUUUCGAUACUUUGUUUUUGUUGCAGAGUAAAGCGAGAAUCCAGUUUCACAUAAGUAUGUGCGGGCAAAUGGCAACAGAACUUUGAUUGCCCACUUGGACAAUUCUGGGUAUUCUUCGCCAAAAAGCAAUAAGAG